RNAcentral lists this ribosomal RNA (492 nucleotides) under uncultured bacterium. RNAcentral describes it as "partial 16S ribosomal RNA". It matches the Rfam family "Bacterial small subunit ribosomal RNA", at positions 30 to 507 of the family's 1533-position model. The record is from RNAcentral.
AGUGAACGCUGGCGGUAGGCCUAACACAUGCAAGUCGAACGGCAGCACAGUAAGAGCUUGCUCUUACGGGUGGCGAGUGGCGGACGUGUGAGGAAUACAUCGUAAUCUACUUUUUCGUGGGGGAUAACGUAGGGAAACUUACGCUAAUACCGCAUACGACCUACGGUUGAAAGCAGGGGAUCUUCGGACCUUGCGCGAUUGAAUGAGCCGGUGUGGGAUUAGCUAGUUGGCGGGGUAAAGGCCCACCAGGGCGGCGAUCCGUAGCGGGUGGGAGAGGGUGGGGGGCGGCAGGGGGGGGGAGGGGGGGGCGAGGGGCCGGCGGGAGGGAGCAGUGGGGGAUGGGGGGCAGGGGGGGGGAGCCUGAGCCAGCCAGACCGCGUGGGUGAAAAAGGCCUUCGGGUUGUAAAGCCCUUUUGUUGGGAAAGAAAAGCAGCAGGUUAAUACCCCGCUGUUCUGACGGUACCCGAAGAAUAAGCACCGGCUAACUUCGUG